UACGUAGGCAGCAAGCGUUGUUCGGAGUUACUGGGCGUAAAGGGUAUGUAGGCGGUCGUUUAAGUUUGGUGUGAAAUCUCCCGGCUCAACUGGGAGGGUGCGCCGAAUACUGAGCGGCUAGAGUGCGGGAGAGGAGAGUGGAAUUCCUGGUGUAGCGGUGAAAUGCGUAGAUAUCAGGAGGAACACCGGCGGUGUAGACGGCUCUCUGGACCGUAACUGACACUGAGACGCGAAAGCGUGGGUAG
Molecule: ribosomal RNA, 245 nt
Filed under: uncultured bacterium
Lineage: Bacteria
Description: partial 16S ribosomal RNA
Rfam family: Bacterial small subunit ribosomal RNA
Source: RNAcentral